AUAAUUCAAAUCACCUGAUCGACCUUAUUAACCAAUAAUCAAUAAUACCCAUGUGAAGCUUAUAAGUGUAAGUUUUGUAAGUAAUUAUUCUUGAAUUUGUAGCCACCUUCGGGAGCCUUUAACUACCUGAAAUUGAACUCGGAAGCACCUUCUGGAAUUCUAAGAUUCCAGUUUGCCUAAGCCGCCCACCCUACGACUACAGGUGCAUUUAGGCUUUCCGACUGAACGGAGAGAUUGGACAACCCGAUAAAGAAUAUCCAUCGGGAAGACCUUAGUCAUUUGCAAUGAACAGAUUUAAGUGCGGCUCCAAAAUCAUGAACUUCUAAAUUAGUUGAUGAAUUAUCUGUUCGGGGUGCCCGAUGUCAAGGUCCUCCAAGUUUCCU
Molecule: long non-coding RNA, 383 nt
Organism: Drosophila eugracilis
Lineage: Eukaryota; Metazoa; Arthropoda; Insecta; Diptera; Drosophilidae
Exons: 2
Source: RefSeq, a predicted model, not a curated record